AUGAGAAUACCAAGGACCAGAGAUGCUAAAUGAAGCCACCUAAGUGACAUGGACCAUUGAGACUCGAUUCCAGACUCUCUCUCCCGUCCAACCCUCUAGACUGUGCAGCUCUCUGCAUGCCGGCCUGUCUCACCUGAAAGUGGAAGUGCAGCGCUUUCAUCCCAUGUAAAGGAAACAGACACUUCCUGAUCAUCUGCUCCAGGCUACUCCUGGGCUGCAGCUUCAUCAGCUCUUGCCCGAAGUGGCUCCGCCUGAGCCUGCAGGGCCACAAAGAGAACGGUGGCAGUGAGGAGGGCAAGGGUCCUCAUGGCUACAGAGACUUGGAGGAGGGAGAGCAGGAGCAGAUGUGUGGGGAGAGAGGAGUUAGCCUGGGUUUAUAGGUCUGCAGAGAGAAGGCUCAGAGACCAGAAACUUUGAAACUUCUCAGUGAGAGGAGGUGUGCAUUUCAUCGGGGA
RNAcentral lists this long non-coding RNA (455 nucleotides) under Homo sapiens (human). Its description in RNAcentral is "HSALNT0132482". The record is from RNAcentral. Lineage: Eukaryota; Metazoa; Chordata; Mammalia; Primates; Hominidae.